Molecule: ribosomal RNA, 464 nt
Filed under: uncultured Sediminibacterium sp.
Lineage: Bacteria; Pseudomonadati; Bacteroidota; Chitinophagia; Chitinophagales; Chitinophagaceae
Description: bacterial SSU rRNA
Rfam family: Bacterial small subunit ribosomal RNA
Source: RNAcentral
CGCCUACGGGGGGCUGCAGUAAGGAAUAUUGGUCAAUGGACGCAAGUCUGAACCAGCCAUGCCGCGUGAAGGAUUAAGGUCCUCUGGAUUGUAAACUUCUUUUAUAUGGGACGAAAAAAGGGCAUUCUUGUUCGUCUGACGGUACCAUAUGAAUAAGCACCGGCUAACUCCGUGCCAGCAGCCGCGGUAAUACGGAGGGUGCAAGCGUUAUCCGGAUUCACUGGGUUUAAAGGGUGCGUAGGCGGGCAGGUAAGUCAGUGGUGAAAUCCUAGAGCUUAACUCUAGAACUGCCAUUGAUACUAUCUGUCUUGAAUAUUGUGGAGGUAAGCGGAAUAUGUCAUGUAGCGGUGAAAUGCUUAGAUAUGACAUAGAACACCUAUUGCGAAGGCAGCUUACUACGCAUAUAUUGACGCUGAGGCACGAAAGCGUGGGGAUCAAACAGGAUUAGAUACCCUAGUAGUCUC